Non-coding RNA from Phrynosoma platyrhinos (Desert horned lizard), 74 nucleotides. The record is from the annotation of a GenBank genome assembly. Lineage: Eukaryota; Metazoa; Chordata; Lepidosauria; Squamata; Phrynosomatidae.
GGGCCAAUGCAGUGUAGUGGUUUAAGCAUUGGAUUACAACUCUGGAGACCAGGGUUGAAAUCCCUGUUUGGUCA